Molecule: ribosomal RNA, 1100 nt
Filed under: uncultured bacterium
Lineage: Bacteria
Description: bacterial SSU rRNA
Rfam family: Bacterial small subunit ribosomal RNA
Source: RNAcentral
GGGGAGGAGAAAACACCCCCUUGGUGUGUUACACCCCCCUUUAAGGAAAAGCCUCUCUCUUGGGAAGAAGAAGCCCCGGGUUAUAUCUCCGGCCCCAACAGCCCGGUGUUAAUACGGGGAGGGCCCAAGCUUUUAUUGGAAUUUUCGUGGGAGAAAAGCGCGGGUUAGGUGGCUUUAAUAACCCGGUUUGAAAAACCCCCGGGGCUCAACCUGGGAAUGGCAUCCGGAACUGUCAGGCUAGAGUGCAGGAGAGGAAGGUAGAAUUCCCCGGUGUAGCGGUGAACUGCGUAGAGAUCGGGAGGAAUACCAGUGGCGAAGGCGGCCUUCUGGACUGACACUGACACUGAGGUGCGAAAGCGUGGGUAGCAAACAGGAUUAGAUACCCUGGUAGUCCACGCCGUAAACGAUGUCGACUAGCCGUUGGGCUCCUUGAGAGCUUUGUGGCGCAGUUAACGCGAUAAGUCGACCGCCUGGGGAGUACGGCCGCAAGGUUAAAACUCAAAUGAAUUGACGGGGGCCCGCACAAGCGGUGGAGCAUGUGGUUUAAUUCGAUGCAACGCGAAGAACCUUACCUACCCUUGACAUCGAGAGAACUUUCCAGAGGUGGAUUGGUGCCUUCGGGAACUCUCAGACAGGUGCUGCAUGGCUGUCGUCAGCUCGUGUUGUGAGAUGUUGGGUUAAGUCCCGCAACGAGCGCAACCCCUGUCCUUAGUUGCCAUCAUUUAGUUGGGCACUCUAAGGAGACUGCCGGUGACAAACCGGAGGAAGGUGGGGAUGACGUCAAGUCAUCAUGGCCCUUAUGGCCAGGGCUACACACGUGCUACAAUGGCUAGUACAAAGGGUUGCCAACUCGCGAGAGUCAGCUAAUCCCGAAAAGCUAGUCGUAGUCCGGAUUGGAGUCUGCAACUCGACUCCAUGGAGUCGGAAUCGCUAGUAAUCGCAGAUCAGAAUGCUGCGGUGAAUACGUUCCCGGGCCUUGUACACACCGCCCGUCACACCAUGGGAGUUGGCUGCAAAAGAAGUAGGUAGACUAACCUUCGGGAGGUCGCUUACCACUUUGUGGUCAAUGACUGGGGCGAAGUCGUAACAAGGUAGCCGUA